Fragaria vesca subsp. vesca is the source of this 1049-nucleotide RNA transcript. RefSeq lists it as uncharacterized. The transcript has 9 exons. The record is from RefSeq and is a predicted model, not a curated record. NCBI's taxonomy places the organism in Eukaryota, Viridiplantae, Streptophyta, Magnoliopsida, Rosales, Rosaceae.
ACCGAUCCAACAACUGCGACGGAAUUUGAAACCCAUCCGCAUUGAGAAGCAUCGGUCUGAAGGUUUUGGCAGCCACGAGCUAUUUGGAGUUGAAGCUGAGAAAAAAGAAGGAUUUCGGGUUUAGAGAAUAACAGAAGAAAAAAAAAUUAUGAUCCUUUAAAAAGUUUCACAAUUGCAAAGGGAAAGGCGUACUGAUCUUAUUAAGGCAGCAAAACCGCUUAGGACAAGAAAGAAGGAAGGUGAGAGAGAUGGAGAUCCUGGAGAAGGAUCUCAAGACCCUAAAGGAGCAGAUUGAUAAGUUGAAUAUACAGAUUUUUUAGUGCCAGCCAACAGCAUCCAGAUCAACGCUGACAGAAAACUAUCUAACAUUUGAAACAGUAAGGAACUUAUGUAAAGUCAUUAGUUCGAAAUAAAAGACCGCAGCAGCGCGCAGGAAGAGAAGAGUUUUGCGCUUGGGCUUGCAUCUCGCCGCUUUCUAUUUCUUUCUUUCUCUCUCGAUCUCUCUCUAAACUUCGCCGCUAUCCCCUUUCUUGCUCUCUCUCGAUCUCUCUCGAAACUCCACCGAAUCAUCUCUAUCAAGAUCUCAAGCUCUCCUUCCCUCUCUUUCGUCACUUCAUCUCUUGCUCGGCACACCUCUGGAAGAGUCUGGACUCCUUUUUUUCCUCUCUUAUCCUUCUGUUCUCUCUAUUUCAGAGACUGAAAGAUAGAAUUUGGCUAAGCAUCCUGGGUUUUGAUGAAUUCAGAUCAGAGAAAGAUGGAGAGAGGGAGAGCAGAGGUAGUGGUUUCGGUCGAGUACCCAACAAAGCUCUGAAGGGAGAUUUUAUCAACACCAAAAAAGGGUGAUCAAUACGUAGUGGAAGACAUCUGAAUCAGUGGACAUCUUUAGUUAUUGAAGAACAACAGUGUCACUGGUUGAUUGGAAGGUACUUUUUUUAUUGGUCUUUUUUCUUCAAAUUGAUCGUCUUCGUGUUCAGAUUUGUGGGAGUGAUAUUACAUAUUUGUAUUAUCAAUUAUUGUUUAAAUUAUAAAUGAUAAUCAUGCUUUGCAAA